Molecule: long non-coding RNA, 280 nt
Organism: Acinonyx jubatus (cheetah)
Lineage: Eukaryota; Metazoa; Chordata; Mammalia; Carnivora; Felidae
Exons: 2
Source: RefSeq, a predicted model, not a curated record
GCCCCCUGAGCAGGCUUUCUUAACAGAAGGCCAUGAGGUUUGUCUUGAUAUAGAAAAUGAAUGUGGGGAUGCUGCAGAGUUAUAAGUAGAGGGUUAUGUGAUCAGAAAGUGAAGGAAUAUAUGGCAACAGGGUACUGGAGACACUGACUUCCAAAGGCUAGAAGCAGGACUGGAGUGGAAAUGGUACUCUUUCAUGAGUUUGGUUUCAACACACGUGUGAUGUGAGACAGACCUAGUCUGACCUCAAAAAGACUUGACCUCAAAAAGAUGAUUUAUCCUG